This 278-nucleotide long non-coding RNA is filed under the name Brassica napus (rape). Its description in RNAcentral is "long non-coding RNA (BNAP_LNC004551)". The record is from RNAcentral. Lineage: Eukaryota; Viridiplantae; Streptophyta; Magnoliopsida; Brassicales; Brassicaceae.
UCGAUUUAGCGGACGACGUCGAUCGAUGACUGGAGUAAUCCGUUCAUCGAUCUUCGUCAUGGUCUGUCGAUCGAUGCGAGUUCAUCGACAUCGAUCGACACCAUUGAGAUCCGCCGAGACUCAUGGAGCUUUCGAUUUCAAAGUUUCCUUCCUCAAGCUUUUCAUUUCUCACCACUUGCCAGAAAUCAUCAUCUAUGAUGGCAUUUACGUGGUGUUUCCCUUUGUCGGCUGCUGCCUCUCUAGUGAAAGCUUCUUACCUUUUUAUAGUCUCGCCAGUC